This 26-nucleotide non-coding RNA is filed under the name Homo sapiens (human). Lineage: Eukaryota; Metazoa; Chordata; Mammalia; Primates; Hominidae. The record is from RNAcentral.
UUGCAGACAAUGAGCUGUGGGUUGUC